GGAGACAGCUCAGUGGUAGAGUGCGUGCUUAGCAUACACAAGGUCCUGGGUUCAAUCCCCAGUGACUCCU
Molecule: transfer RNA, 70 nt
Filed under: Camelus bactrianus (Bactrian camel)
Lineage: Eukaryota; Metazoa; Chordata; Mammalia; Artiodactyla; Camelidae
Also listed under: 2 other names
Rfam family: tRNA
About the family: Transfer RNA (tRNA) molecules are approximately 80 nucleotides in length. Their secondary structure includes four short double-helical elements and three loops (D, anti-codon, and T loops).
Source: Rfam by way of RNAcentral